Molecule: RNA transcript, 1184 nt
Organism: Oenanthe melanoleuca
Lineage: Eukaryota; Metazoa; Chordata; Aves; Passeriformes; Muscicapidae
Gene: KRTCAP3
Gene name: keratinocyte associated protein 3
Exons: 6
Source: RefSeq, a predicted model, not a curated record
GUGCCCGGGGCGGAGCGCGGCGGCGGCGGCGGCCAUGGCCGGGGGCCGGCGGGGCCGGGGCGCGCUGGCGGAGCCGCGGCGGCUGAUGCGCACCGGGCUGGGGCUGAUCGUGCUGGGCCACGGCAGCCUGGUGCUGGGCGCCAUCGUGCACGGCUCGGUGCUGCGGCACGUGGCCGGCGCCCGGCGCGCCGGCACCCCCGAGUACGCGGCGGCCAACGUGGUGUCGGUGUGCUCGGGGCUGCUGAGCAUCGCCGCGGGCAUCGUGGCCAUCCUGGUGUCGCACAACCUGUCGCGGGCGGCCCUGCACUGGGCCCUGCUGAGCGUGUCGCUGCUAAACUGCCUGCUGUCCACGGCGUGCAGCGUGGGGCUGGCGCUGGCCGUGGCCCUCACGGUGCACAGCCGGGGCACGCACCUGGUCAGGGGCUGCAACAGCUCGGCGCUGCCUCUGGACGCCCGCGCGGCCAUCGCCACCAACGACUGUCCCUUCAACACCACGCGCAUCUACUCUCUGCUGAGUGUGUUCAGGCAGCCGGUGCAGUGCCCACGCUCCUCUGCCCCUUGCUCUGCAGGACACAGCCCUGGCGCUCUGGAUCCCCUCCCUGCUGCUGGCAGCUGCAGAAGCCGUGCUCUCGGGCCGGAGCUGCUUGGUGGCUCUGCUCUUCCGGGGCCUCUGGCCCUGUGCACGCAGCUAUGGCACACAGCAGCUGGCCAGGCCAAGUACAGCAAUGGAGAAGCCACUCCGUGAGAGGCAGCAGCUCCUGGCAGGACUUGCUGAGUCUCCUGCAUAGCUGGAGAGGUGGUGCUGCAGCAGUGCUGUGACCCAGCAGGGUCGGGGCGAGGUGCUGUCACACCUUCUGCAGGGUUGGUGUGUGUAAGGUGGGCUGCAGGGGUGAGGGGUGUGCCUUGCCCCCUGCCCCCAGCUGGGACAGAGCCUGCAGCUGCCUGGGCCCCACAUGCUCUGCCAUCCCCUCCCCAAGCUGCCAGGCCCUUCCUGCUGUCCUGAAGGCUGCGUUGGUUUCUGUCAGCAGAGAUGGGCUGGGCAGAGGUGCUGGGCCCAAGUCCUGGUGCCAUUGCAGGCAGGGCAGCUGGCUGUGCCUAUGCUCAGACAUGUCAGGGAACAGAAGGGGAAGAUUCCCCAUCAUAUGGAUCUCUCAUUUUCUUGAAUAAACAAAUUUUCCUUUUCA